Oreochromis niloticus (Nile tilapia) is the source of this 396-nucleotide long non-coding RNA. RefSeq lists it as uncharacterized. NCBI's taxonomy places the organism in Eukaryota, Metazoa, Chordata, Actinopteri, Cichliformes, Cichlidae. The transcript has 3 exons. The record is from RefSeq and is a predicted model, not a curated record.
UCCCACUGUCCCUCUUCAAUACAAGAUGAAGCUGCAUCACCCUCUGGACCUAUUUACUACAGCUUAGGCCUUAGUGACACUCAACCACAAGAAGCAGGAACCAGCAUAGAGAUGUCUUCAGCAUGCAUCUACCAACACAUAGCAGAGGAUCCCUUCUAUUCUAUGAUACAGUAGGUUGCACAGAGAGAGUUGUCUGAAGACGUAAUCACAUUUGUGUGAGAAUGAAAACAAACAUGUAACCUAGUUUUAUCACAUAUUGUUUUUAUUAUUAAUCAAAUUGUAGAUUGUCAUCUGGGUUUGAUGUACAAGUGUAUGAACUGUUAAUGGUUUUCUUUGUUCAGUCAGAUACAGCUGUAGUUGCCAUUCCCACGUGGUUAUAAAUACAUAUAAAGACAA